RNAcentral lists this ribosomal RNA (253 nucleotides) under uncultured bacterium. Its description in RNAcentral is "partial 16S ribosomal RNA". It matches the Rfam family "Bacterial small subunit ribosomal RNA", at positions 524 to 776 of the family's 1533-position model. The record is from RNAcentral.
UACGGGGGGGGCAAGCGUUGUUCGGAAUUACUGGGCGUAAAGGGCGCGUAGGCGGCUUACUAAGUCGGACGUGAAAUCCCUCGGCUCAACCGAGGAACUGCGUCCGAUACUGGCAGGCUGGAAUCCGGGAGAGGGAUGUGGAAUUCCAGGUGUAGCGGUGAAAUGCGUAGAUAUCUGGAGGAACACCGGUGGCGAAGGCGGCAUCCUGGACCGACACUGACACUGAGGAGCGAAAGCCAGGGGAGCAAACGGG